UACGGGGGGGGUAAGCGUUGUUCGGAAUUACUGGGCGUAAAGGGCUCGUAGGCGGCCAACUAAGUCAGACGUGAAAUCCCUCGGCUUAACCGGGGAACUGCGUCUGAUACUGGAUGGCUUGAGUUUGGGAGAGGAAUGCGGAAUUCCAGGUGUAGCGGUGAAAUGCGUAGAUAUCUGGAGGAACACCGGUGGCGAAGGCGGCAUUCUGGACCAAUACUGACGCUGAGGAGCGAAAGCCAGGGGAGCAAACGGG
Molecule: ribosomal RNA, 253 nt
Filed under: uncultured bacterium
Lineage: Bacteria
Description: partial 16S ribosomal RNA
Rfam family: Bacterial small subunit ribosomal RNA
Source: RNAcentral